AAGGAAAACUGAAGCCGUGUUACACAGAUGCUACCUACGAAGAGAGGUGCCGCAAUGGAGACUGGAGCUAGAGGUGAUGCUGCAAAGAGGAGUGAAGUUUGAGAUAGAAGCAUUAUCUGUGUGUGCAUUAUCCUUCUUAUCAGAGGAGUACAUACUAUCUAAAAUUCAAGAAAUCUUAUGAGACAAAACAGUAUAAGAAGGGGUUGAAGGCUGCGGACACUAUAUUGAAAAAGGAGGUAUUUUCUGUUUCAUGCAAUAUGUAAUUUGGUACUGCACAAUUAGCUGAUCUAGCGACCAUUUUAUUCAGUUUUGUUUCCUCUGUCCGCGUCCAUUGGCUCU
Long non-coding RNA from Humulus lupulus (European hop), 339 nucleotides. RefSeq lists it as uncharacterized. The transcript is spliced from 3 exons. The record is from RefSeq and is a predicted model, not a curated record. Lineage: Eukaryota; Viridiplantae; Streptophyta; Magnoliopsida; Rosales; Cannabaceae.